This 506-nucleotide ribosomal RNA is filed under the name uncultured bacterium. RNAcentral describes it as "partial 16S ribosomal RNA". It matches the Rfam family "Bacterial small subunit ribosomal RNA", at positions 30 to 523 of the family's 1533-position model. The record is from RNAcentral.
AUUGAACGCUGGCGGCAGGCCUAACACAUGCAAGUCGGACGGUAGCACAGAGGAGCUUGCUCCUUGGGUGACGAGUGGCGGACGGGUGAGUAAUGUCUGGGGAUCUGCCCGAUAGAGGGGGAUAACCACUGGAAACGGUGGCUAAUACCGCAUAACGUCGCAAGACCAAAGAGGGGGACCUUCGGGCCUCUCACUAUCGGAUGAACCCAGAUGGGAUUAGCUAGUAGGCGGGGUAAUGGCCCACCUAGGCGACGAUCCUUAGCUGGUCUGAGAGGAUGACCAGUCACACUGGAACUGAGACACGGUCCAGACUCCUACGGGAGGCAGCAGUGGGGAAUAUUGCACAAUGGGCGCAAGCCUGAUGCAGCCAUGCCGCGUGUAUGAAGUAGGCCUUCGGGUUGUAAAGUACUUUCAGCGGGGAGGAAGGCGAUGCGGUUAAUAACCGCGUCGAUUGACGUUACCCGCAGAAGAAGCACCGGCUAACUCCGUGCCAGCAGCCGCGGUAA